RNAcentral lists this long non-coding RNA (2069 nucleotides) under Musa acuminata (dwarf banana). Its description in RNAcentral is "long non-coding RNA (MACU_LNC005061)". Lineage: Eukaryota; Viridiplantae; Streptophyta; Magnoliopsida; Zingiberales; Musaceae. The record is from RNAcentral.
CAUCCUUGGGAAGCGAAGUAUCUUUCCGGUGGUUCCCUUCCCUCCCCUCCAAAUCCCCCCUCACUAAGCAAGCACUAAAGGAGAUGUUCAGGGAGUACGGCAGCAGCAAAAGAAACACCUGCUUUAUCUCUCUUCUGUGAUCAUCAUCCUGUGCUUUAGGAUUUCCUCUUACAACAAGGAAGCACUCUUAUCCAUGCACCCAAUGAAAUAAAACAAGUACUUGGUUUCUCGUGCUGAAUGCGCUUCUUUAUGCUUUUCUGCGUUAUUCCUGCUGCUAUAUACCCUACUUUUCCUAUAUCUCAUCCAUUACUUCUCCCAUGACUCUUUAAUUUUCCUCUUUUCCUUUUUCCAUGGAGAACACAUUCCUCUUUCACUGUUUUUUUCAUAUUUAUAUUGCUUCUCAGUAUCACAUGCAGCUCGUAGGAUUCCUAAAGCACAGGUUCCCUCACUUCAACAAAAACUACGAGCAACUCAAGUAUCGCACAUCAGGUGUUUGUUGCUUUUUCUCUUUGAAAUAAAGCAAAAGAGCAACAGUGGAUGCUGCUGCUUUCCAAGGGCACAAGACUAGAACUCACAUGGAGAACUAUGCUCCCAUUGCAUGAAGAAAAACUCAACAAUAUUGUUUCAUGCAACAUAAAAAAUUUAUCUCCAUAUUCAAGUGCCUUUCAUACAUACAUCAUGCACAAUGUCAAUUUGAUUUUUGAUUCUAGAAGCAUGCUUGUUCACUUUGAAAUAAACUCUCUGAUGUUCUUUUUAUUUAUUUAUUUAUUUUUCUUGCUAAAAAGUGUUCAUCUAUUAUUACUUAAUACAUGGUACUUCGGAAACCUCACAAGUUUGUGAUCAUUGAACAGGGAGAAGAAGGAAAGAACACAGGAAAUAGAGCUGCAGGGAAAUCCAGGGAAUUAUCAUGAUUUGGUCUUCUCUCUGGAGACUAGUUUUCUAAAGUGGGCAAUUUCUUAAUGUCACCCAAGUGCUUUUAUAUACUUUUGAAGCAGGCUAUCAGAUAUUUGGGACCCAACUGAGUAAUUCUAUAUUAGAACUGGCAGAAAAGUAAGUGAAUCCUAGCUAAUGUGGACACUUGUUUUAAAGCACCCUAAAGAACAAGUGUGCAAAUGCUGACUGUUCCAUUAAUUUACCUAACAGCUAUUUUAUGUAGUAUUCAGUGGAUCUAAAGAUAUCAGGUCUUGGGGGAAUUUAGGUAGAAUUUGCACAUAGUCUUCAGCCAGUUUGCCUCAGAUGUCCUUCAAAUAGGAUCAAUUACUUCCAUUUCAUAUUUGGUGAAGUUGUAUGGUGUAAAAGUGAUCAACCAAAAUAACAGUCUGUUUCUCCUGAAGUGAUAUUUGAACUCAAUAGGCUCUCUCCUUCUGUGAUAAUUUUUAGCAUAGUUAAAGGCACUCAUAAUAUUAAUGUGCAUCAUCACAGGAACUGAGCCAUCUGUCAGAACUCCAAGAUAUUUUAGAAAUUAUCUUAGCUAUAUGAUUUCCCAAAUUCUCAUUACAAUAAAAACAUGUCUUCCUCUUAUUUUGCCAUCUGAUUGGUUCAAAUUAAAAUUAUAGUUGCCCUAUGUUGAAAGACCAUUGAUGUUGAAGUUUAAAGGCUCCAUGAACUGUAUAUUGUAGCCUCUCCUCUUCAUAUGCUUCUUGAAGAGCAUGAUAGAAGUGUGCAUUUUCUUUGAGGUGAGGCUCUCAUCACCAAAAGAACAUCAAACCAAGAUUCAUGGAUAAUUUAUGGUGGCAUUUUUGGUGAACCCUUUUAAAUUAUGUCUAGUACACUCAUCUACCAUGAUCUUAAUCAUUUAAUUAGGUUCAAAUAGCUACAAAAUUGCUUCACGGAUCUCCGAACAAGCUUAUUAUAUUCUUGUAUGUGAUGUGAGUCCUGAUUGUACCAAUGUGAUAUUUCAGUUUUUAGGUGCAAAGUUAUGAUCAUCUCAGCUUCAUGGGGUUUCCACAUUGUCAAAGAAGUCGAAGAAUUGCCAUGCCAAGAAGAUUGGAAGGAAUGCCAUGCCUAAGCAGUGACCCCCUCCAAAAGAUAUCUUUUGGGGUAUAUCACAUAGCAAAUAAUUUCUCACA